This 923-nucleotide ribosomal RNA is filed under the name uncultured marine bacterium. RNAcentral's name for it is "bacterial SSU rRNA". It matches the Rfam family "Bacterial small subunit ribosomal RNA", at positions 57 to 949 of the family's 1533-position model. The record is from RNAcentral.
GCAAGUCGUGCGACAGACCAGGAAUUGAUUACUUCGGUUUGAUUUUCCUGACGAUGAGCGGCGAACGGGUGCGUAACACGUGAGAAACCUGCCUUGAAGUUCGGGAUAGCUCGGCGAAAGUCGAAUUAAUACCGGAUGUGGCCUAGGGAUAGCAUUUUCCCUUGGUUAAAGCUCGGUCACAGAGCGCUUUAGAUGGUCUCGCGGUCUAUCAGCUUGUUGGUGAGGUAACGGCUCACCAAGGCUACGACGGAUAACUGAUCUGAGAGGAUGAUCAGUCACACUGGAACUGAGACACGGUCCAGACACCUACGGGUGGCAGCAGUCGAGAAUCAUUCACAAUGGGCGCAAGCCUGAUGGUGCGACGCCGCGUGGGGGAUGAAGGGCUUCGGUCUGUAAACCCCUGUCAUCUGUGAGUAAGGUCUCGUAUAAAAGCUACGAGAAUUGAUAUUAACAGAAGAGGAAGGGACGGCUAACUCUGUGCCAGCAGCCGCGGUAAUACAGAGGUCCCAAGCGUUGUUCGGAUUUACUGGGCGUAAAGGGUGCGUAGGCGGUUAGAAAAGUUUGGUGUGAAAUCUUCGGGCUCAACCCGGAAACUGCACUGAAAACUAUUUAACUAGAGGAUCGGAGAGGAGAUUGGAAUUCUCAGUGUAGCAGUGAAAUGCGUGGAUAUUGAGAGGAACACCAGUUGCGAAGGCGGAUCUCUGGACGAUUCCUGACGCUGAGGCACGAAAGCUGGGGGAGCGAAGAGGAUUAGAUACCCUCGUAGUCCCAGCCGUAAACGGUGCGCACUUGCUGUGGGCGGAUUCGACCCCGUCCGUGGCGAAGCUAACGCGUUAAGUGCGCCGCCUGGGGAGUACGGUCGCAAGAUUAAAACUCAAAGAAAUUGACGGGGGCCUGCACAAGCGGUGGAGUAUGUGGCUUAA